RNAcentral lists this ribosomal RNA (253 nucleotides) under uncultured bacterium. RNAcentral's name for it is "partial 16S ribosomal RNA". It matches the Rfam family "Bacterial small subunit ribosomal RNA", at positions 524 to 776 of the family's 1533-position model. The record is from RNAcentral.
UACGGAGGGUGCAAGCGUUAGUCGGAAUUAUUGGGCGUAAAGGGUGCGUAGGCGGGAUCACAAGUCAUAUGUGAAAUUCCGGGGCUUAACCUCGGAGCUGCAUAUGAUACUGUAAUUCUAGUCGGAUGGCGGAGAAAAUGGAAUUCCACGUGUAGCGGUGAAAUGCGUAGAUAUGUGGAAGAACACCUGUGGCGAAAGCGGUUUUCUAGCCUACCCGAGACGCUGAGGCACGAAAGUUAGGGGAGCAAACAGG